GACGAACGCUGGCGGCGUGCUUAACACAUGCAAGUCGAACGGAAAGGCCCUGCUUUUGUGGGGUGCUCGAGUGGCGAACGGGUGAGUAACACGUGAGUAACCUGCCCUUGACUUUGGGAUAACUUCAGGAAACUGGGGCUAAUACCGGAUAGGAGCUCCUGCUGCAUGGUGGGGGUUGGAAAGUUUCGGCGGUUGGGGAUGGACUCGGGGCUUAUCAGCUUGUUGGUGGGGUAGUGGCUUACCAAGGCUUUGACGGGUAGCCGGCCUGAGAGGGUGACCGGCCACAUUGGGACUGAGAUACGGCCCAGACUCAUACGGGAGGCAGCAGUGGGGAAUAUUGCACAAUGGGCGGAAGCCUGAUGCAGCAACGCCGCGUGCGGGAUGACGGCCUUCGGGUUGGAAACCGCUUUCGCCUGUGACGAAGCGUGAGUGACGGUAAUGGGUAAAGAAGCACCGGCUAACUACGUG
This 468-nucleotide ribosomal RNA is filed under the name uncultured bacterium. RNAcentral describes it as "partial 16S ribosomal RNA". It matches the Rfam family "Bacterial small subunit ribosomal RNA", at positions 28 to 507 of the family's 1533-position model. The record is from RNAcentral.